GUCUACUGCCGUAUCACUUUGAAUGUGCUUGAUCUUGGAAGCUAAGGAGGGUCAGACCUGGUUAAGACUUGGUAUGGGAGACCACGUGGGAAUACCAGGUGCUGUAGGGU
This is a ribosomal RNA of Rhinopithecus bieti (black snub-nosed monkey), 110 nucleotides long. The record is from Ensembl. Lineage: Eukaryota; Metazoa; Chordata; Mammalia; Primates; Cercopithecidae.